Panicum virgatum (switchgrass) is the source of this 497-nucleotide long non-coding RNA. RefSeq lists it as uncharacterized. Lineage: Eukaryota; Viridiplantae; Streptophyta; Magnoliopsida; Poales; Poaceae. The record is from RefSeq and is a predicted model, not a curated record. The transcript has 2 exons.
AGUCAAGCAAAAUGGUAUACUUCAUGAGGCAGACGAUUGGAAACUCCUCCGGAACAGUUGGUAUUAUUCAUGCACUGGGGAAUGCUGCUUCCAAAAUCAAUCUAGGUAAGGGGUCAUAUUUUGAUAGAUUUUAUAAACAAACUACUGAUAUGGAUCCAUUCCAUUUUAGUGGUUCAUGUGUUACAAUUCAAAGGCUUCCAUGAAGAUGGAUUGCCUUUGUGUUAAACUAACAUAUUGGAUACUUCAUAAUUUCAGCGUUCUUCAUUUCUUGAGGAGGCUACUCAUUUUAUACAGACUGUAUGUUAUGGAUUUAAUGCAUUUCUUUGUCUCACGCCAUAAGGCUACUCAUUUUAUACAGACUUAUGUAAUGGAUUAUCAGUUGUAGAAAUUUUGAUGAGUAUGGAUGUAACUGUGUAUGGAUGUAAUGUAAUGGAUAUGUAUGGAUGUAACUGUGUAUGGAUGUAAUUAAGGAAUAUAAGAAAUUUUGAUUUUUUUUA